UAUCUUUUAUUUUGCAACCUCCGUAAAUAUACUUUGAAUUUCUAGAUUUUGUAGAUCCCACUGGUUAUAUGCACUUCUGUCAUCUGAAAAUAAUGAAAAUUGUAUGUCUUCAUUUCCAAUCUAUCUUUUUUGGUUCACUUUCUCCCCUCUCUUCUUCCUUUCCUUCUUUUUUCUCUCCCUCUCUCACUCCCUUCUUCUUUCUCCCCUAGUGUGACUUAUAGCUUAAGGAUGUUCAAGAGACUCAAGUAUCGAAGACCCCUACAGUUAGGUUCCAGUACCUGCCCAGUAUAGAACACAGGCCUGAGAAAUAAAACUAAAAGACGGAACUAGGAGAGAAAAUGGGGUGCCAGGGCAACGAAUGCCAGUGCAACCGACAAACCCAGGCACUGACUUUUAUUGGCAAUCAAUUGGGAUAAAGGCAAGCUACGUGCAGUUUCUAUAGAAAUUUUAGGAAGAGAAUAGACAAAAUAUAUGGUUGUAAUUAGAACACCAUUCUUCUAGUAAAAAGGUUUUUGUUGUGGGAACAGAACUUGGGUGCAAGUUACUCUGACCUCAGCAUGUAGGUUUGUAGGCUUCGUAGGCUUCACCAGACUCACUUCUCAAAACAACCCAGGUGUGGGGUUAAUUCUUCACAGCCUGCUUUGGGCAGAAUCAAUGUUACGGUCCUCUGCACUCAAGCAGAAAUCGUUACCUUCCAAGUGUAAAGGAAGUUGUGCUUCACCAUGAUCUGAUGAAGGAAAUUUCAUUCUUUUUAUUUUCAGAUUAUGAUUGUUCAGAGGCUGUAUCAUGAGUAGGUGCUGAGUUUUAUUAUGUUUAUUCUGCAUCUGUUGAUAUGGUCAUAUAAUCUUUCUUCUUUAUUCUGAUAAUGUGAAUGAUACUUAUUGACUUCUUAAAAAUGACAAUCAACCUUGCUAUCUCAGGAUAAAUUUCAUUUGGUCGACAUAUAUUGUUCUUUUAAUAUAUUGGCAGGUUUUAUGUGCUAGCAAUUCUUAAGAGCUUCCACAUUAUUUUUCCUUAGGAGUGCUGGUCUAUAAUUUUCUGUUCUUGUAAUGACUUUAUGAGGUUUUAGAAACAUAAUUAUGCUAACAUGAUGAGUUGAGAAAUGUUCCAACACCUUAUAUUUUGUGAGAGUAUGAUAUUGACAUUAUUUCUGCCUUAAAUGUUUGAUGGAAUUCAUUAGUAAAGCUAUCUGGCUCUGAGUUUUAUUUAUGGGAAGAUUUUUUGAAAAUAAAAAUUCAUUUAAUA
This 1245-nucleotide long non-coding RNA is filed under the name Heterocephalus glaber (naked mole-rat). RNAcentral describes it as "lncRNA (ENSHGLG00100041252.1)". Lineage: Eukaryota; Metazoa; Chordata; Mammalia; Rodentia; Bathyergidae. The record is from RNAcentral.